This 490-nucleotide ribosomal RNA is filed under the name uncultured Lachnospiraceae bacterium. RNAcentral describes it as "bacterial SSU rRNA". It matches the Rfam family "Bacterial small subunit ribosomal RNA", at positions 1 to 507 of the family's 1533-position model. Lineage: Bacteria; Bacillati; Bacillota; Clostridia; Lachnospirales; Lachnospiraceae. The record is from RNAcentral.
UAGAGUUUCGAUCCUGGCGUCAGGAUGAACGCUGGCGGCGUGCCUAACACAUGCAAGUCGAACGGGCUCGGAUUGAAACCUAGUGAUUCCGAGUUAGUGGCGGACGGGUGAGUAACGCGUGGAUAACCUGCCGUAUGCAGGGGGAUAACAGUUGGAAACAGCUGCUAAUACCGCAUAAGCGCACAGUACCGCAUGGUACGGUGUGAAAAGAUUUAUCGGCAUACGAUGGAUCCGCGUCUGAUUAGCCAGUUGGCGGGGUAACGGCCCACCAAAGCGACGAUCGGUAGCCGGCCUGAGAGGGCGGACGGCCACAUUGGGACUGAGACACGGCCCAAACUCCUACGGGAGGCAGCAGUGGGGAAUAUUGCACAAUGGGGGAAACCCUGAUGCAGCGACGCCGCGUGAGUGAAGAAGUAUUUCGGUAUGCAAAGCUCUAUCAGCAGGGAAGAAAAUGACGGUACCUGACUAAGAAGCCCCGGCUAACUACGUG